Molecule: long non-coding RNA, 76 nt
Filed under: Pan troglodytes (chimpanzee)
Lineage: Eukaryota; Metazoa; Chordata; Mammalia; Primates; Hominidae
Description: lncRNA (ENSPTRG00000054317.1)
Source: RNAcentral
UGGAUGGAUGGAUGGAUGAUGGAUGGAUGGAUAAUGGAUGGAUGGAUAAUGGAUGGAUGGAUGGAUAAUGGAUAGA